GACGAACGCUGGCGGCGUGCCUAAUACAUGCAAGUAGAACGCUGAAGGAGGAGCUUGCUUCUCUGGAUGAGUUGCGAACGGGUGAGUAACGCGUAGGUAACCUGCCUGGUAGCGGGGGAUAACUAUUGGAAACGAUAGCUAAUACCGCAUAAUAGUAGAUGUCGCAUGACAUUUGCUUAAAAGGUGCAAUUGAAUCCCUACCAGAUGGCCCUGCGUUGUAUUAGCUAGUUGGUGAGGUAACGGCUCACCAAGGCAACGAUACAUAGCCGACCUGAGAGGGUGAUCGGCCACACUGGGACUGAGACACGGCCCAGACUCCUACGGGAGGCAGCAGUAGGGAAUCUUCGGCAAUGGACGGAAGUCUGACCGAGCAACGCCGCGUGAGUGAAGAAGGUUUUCGGAUCGUAAAGCUCUGUUGUAAGAGAAGAACGAGUGUGAGAGUGGAAAGUUCACACUGUGACGGUAUCUUACCAGAAAGGGACGGCUAACUACGUG
This 495-nucleotide ribosomal RNA is filed under the name uncultured bacterium. RNAcentral describes it as "partial 16S ribosomal RNA". It matches the Rfam family "Bacterial small subunit ribosomal RNA", at positions 28 to 507 of the family's 1533-position model. The record is from RNAcentral.